AUUGAACGCUGGCGGCAUGCUUUACACUUGCAAGUCGAACGGUAACAGGUUAAGCUGACGAGUGGCGAACGGGUGAGUAAUGCAUCGGAACGUGCCCGGUCGUGGGGGAUAACACUUCGAAAGAAGUGCUAAUACCGCAUACGAUCUGAGGAUGAAAGCGGGGGACCGUAAGGCCUCGCGCGAUCGGAGCGGCCGAUGUCAGAUUAGGUAGUUGGUGGGGUAAAGGCCUACCAAGCCGACGGUCUGUAGCUGGGCUGAGACGACGACCAGCCACACUGGGACUGAGACACGGCCCAGACUCCUACGGGAGGCAGCAGUGGGGAAUUUUGGCCAAUGGGCGCAAGCCUGAUCCAGCAAUGCCGCGUGCAGGAAGAAGGCCUUCGGGUUGUAAACUGCUUUUGUACGGAGCGAAAAGGCUCUCUCUAAUACAGGGGGCUGAUGACGGUACCGUAAGAAUAAGCACCGGCUAACUACGCGCCAGCCGCCGCGGUAA
RNAcentral lists this ribosomal RNA (493 nucleotides) under uncultured bacterium. RNAcentral's name for it is "partial 16S ribosomal RNA". It matches the Rfam family "Bacterial small subunit ribosomal RNA", at positions 30 to 523 of the family's 1533-position model. The record is from RNAcentral.